RNAcentral lists this ribosomal RNA (512 nucleotides) under Miomantis sp. MN181. Its description in RNAcentral is "partial 16S ribosomal RNA". It matches the Rfam family "Bacterial large subunit ribosomal RNA", at positions 1832 to 2600 of the family's 2925-position model. The record is from RNAcentral. Lineage: Eukaryota; Metazoa; Arthropoda; Insecta; Mantodea; Mantidae.
GGUUUCUUGAAAAUUAUAAGAAAUUUAACCUGCCCACUGAAAGUUUUAAAGGGCCGCAGUAUUUUGACUGUGCAAAGGUAGCAUAAUAAUUAGUCUUUUAAUUGAAGGCUGGAAUGAAUGGUUGGAUGAGGUAAAAACUAUUUUAUGUUAAAGGAUUGAAUUUAGAUUUUAAGUAAAAAGACUUAAAUAAAAUUAAGGGACGAGAAGACCCUAUAGAGUUUAAUAAACAUAUUUUUAAUUAAGUUUAAGAUAAAUUUUUAAUUAUUAUAUUUUGUAUUAUUUAAUUGGGGUGAUUAGAAAAUAAGUGAAACUUUUCUUUAAUAUAAAUAUGAUUAAGUAGAAGUAAGAUCCAUAAAUAAUGAUUAAAAGAUUAAAUUACCUUAGGGAUAACAGCAUAAUAUUUUUAAAAAGUUCAUAUUGAAAAAAGUGAUUAUGACCUCGAUGUUGGAUUAAGAUAAAUUCUGGGUGCAGAUGUUCAGAAAUUAGGUCUGUUCGACCUUUAAAAUCUUACA